Molecule: ribosomal RNA, 627 nt
Filed under: Kockovaella chinensis
Lineage: Eukaryota; Fungi; Basidiomycota; Tremellomycetes; Tremellales; Cuniculitremaceae
Description: eukaryotic LSU rRNA
Rfam family: Eukaryotic large subunit ribosomal RNA
Source: RNAcentral
UAAGCGGAGGAAAAGAAACUAACAAGGAUUCCCCUAGUAACGGCGAGUGAACAGGGAAGAGCUCAAAUUUGUAAUCUGGCGUCCCUUGGGCGUCCGAGUUGUAAUCUAUAGAAGCGUUUUCCGUGCUGGACCAUGUCCAAGUCCCUUGGAACAGGGUAUCAAAGAGGGUGACAAUCCCGUGCUUGACAUGACGACCAGUGCUCUGUGAUACGCUCUCUACGAGUCGAGUUGUUUGGGAAUGCAGCUCAAAAUGGGUGGUGAGUUCCAUCUAAAGCUAAAUAUUGGCGAGAGACCGAUAGCGAACAAGUACCGUGAGGGAAAGAUGAAAAGCACUUUGGAAAGAGAGUUAAACAGUACGUGAAAUUGUUGAAAGGGAAACGAUUGAAGUCAGUCGUGUCCGAGGGGUUCAGCCGGUCCCGCCGGUGUAUUCCCCUCGGAUGGGUCAACGUCAGUUUGGACCGGUGGAAAAGGGCAGUUGGAAGGUGGCAGCUCCGGUUGUGUUAUAGCCUUCUGUCGCAUACGCCGGUCUAGACUGAGGAAUGCAGCUCGCCUUCAUGGCUGGGGUUCUCCCACAUUCGAGCUUAGGAUGUUGACAUAAUGGCUUUAAACGACCCGUCUUGAAACACG